RNAcentral lists this ribosomal RNA (497 nucleotides) under uncultured bacterium. RNAcentral's name for it is "partial 16S ribosomal RNA". It matches the Rfam family "Bacterial small subunit ribosomal RNA", at positions 28 to 507 of the family's 1533-position model. The record is from RNAcentral.
GAUGAACGCUGGCGGCGUGCCUAAUACAUGCAAGUCGAGCGAACAGACGAGGAGCUUGCUCCUCUGACGUUAGCGGCGGACGGGUGAGUAACACGUGGAUAACCUACCUAUAAGACUGGGAUAACUUCGGGAAACCGGAGCUAAUACCGGAUAAUAUAUUGAACCGCAUGGUUCAAUAGUGAAAGACGGUUUUGCUGUCACUUAUAGAUGGAUCCGUGCCGCAUUAGCUAGUUGGUAAGGUAACGGCUUACCAAGGCAACGAUGCGUAGCCGACCUGAGAGGGUGAUCGGCCACACUGGAACUGAGACACGGUCCAGACUCCUACGGGAGGCAGCAGUAGGGAAUCUUCCGCAAUAGGCGAAAGCCUGACGGAGCAACGCCGCGUGAGUGAUGAAGGUCUUCGGAUCGUAAAACUCUGUUAUUAGGGAAGAACAAAUGUGUAAGUAACUAUGCACGUCUUGACGGUACCUAAUCAGAAAGCCACGGCUAACUACGUG